AGUGAGCGCUGGCGGUAGGCCUAACACAUGCAAGUCGAACGGCAGCACAGUAAGAGCUUGCUCUUACGGGUGGCGAGUGGCGGACGGGUGAGGAAUACAUCGGAAUCUACUUUUUCGUGGGGGAUAACGUAGGGAAACUUACGCUAAUACCGCAUACGACCUACCGGUGAAAGCAGGGGAUCUUCGGACCUUGCGCGAUUGAAUGAGCCGAUGUCGGAUUAGCUAGUUGGCGGGGUAAAGGCCCACCAAGGCGGCGAUCCGUAGCUGGUCUGAGAGAAUGGUAACCCACACGAGAAGUGGAACAGGGACCAGGCUCCUACGGGAGGGAGCAGUGGGGUAUGUGGGACAAUGGGGGCAAACCUGAUCCAACCAGACCGAGUGGGUGAAGGAGGCCUUCGGGUUGUAAAGCCGUUUUGUUGGUAAAGAAAAGCAGCAGGUUAAGACCCCGCGGUUCUGACGGUACCCAAAGAAUAAGCACCGGCUAACUUCGUG
Molecule: ribosomal RNA, 492 nt
Filed under: uncultured bacterium
Lineage: Bacteria
Description: partial 16S ribosomal RNA
Rfam family: Bacterial small subunit ribosomal RNA
Source: RNAcentral